Molecule: ribosomal RNA, 725 nt
Filed under: Calliphora vicina (urban bluebottle blowfly)
Lineage: Eukaryota; Metazoa; Arthropoda; Insecta; Diptera; Calliphoridae
Description: eukaryotic LSU rRNA
Rfam family: Eukaryotic large subunit ribosomal RNA
Source: RNAcentral
AAACUAAAUAUAACCAUGAGACCGAUAGUAAACAAGUACCGUGAGGGAAAGUUGAAAAGAACUCUGAAUAGAGAGUUAAAUAGUACGUGAAACUGCUUAGAGGUUAAGCCCGAUGAACCUGAAUAUCCAUUAUGGAAAAUUCAUCAUUAUGAUUUUAAUAUUUAUAAUAUUAUAAUAAUGGUGUGCAUUUUUUCUAUAAAGGACAUUGUAAUCUAUUAACAAAAAAAAUUUAUCAUAAGAUCAAUUAAUGCGUAAGUUUAUUCAAAUUAUUUUGCUUGCAUUUUAAUAUCGAAUAAAUGCUUUUGAUUUGAUAAAGUGUUGAUAGAUUUAUUAUAUAUAGUGCUUAAAUAUUAAAUUAUUUUAUAAUAGCAUAUUGAUCAUUGAUUUUUAUGUUUAUUAUAUGCACUUAUAUGAUUAACAAUGCGAAAGAUUCAGGAUACCUUCGGGACCCGUCUUGAAACACGGACCAAGGAGUCUAACAUAUUUGCAAGUUAUUGGGAAUAAAAACCUAAUAGCGUAAUUAACAUAACUAUAUAUAAUGGGAUUAGUUUUUAGCCUAUUUAUAGUCUAUUAAUUCAAUCCCGGGGCGUUCUAUACAGUUAUGUAUAAUAAUAUUUAUAUUAUUUAUACCUCUAACUAGAGCGUACCUUGAGCAUAUAUGUUGUGACCCGAAAGAUGGUGAACUAUACUUGAUCAGGUUGAAGUCAGGGGAAACCCUGAUGGAA